UUCCGGUUGAUCCCGCCGGACCCGACUGCUAUCAGAGUGGGACUAAGCCAUGCGAGUCAACGUAGCAAUACGUGGCGAACGGCUCAGUAACACGUAGUCAACAUGCCCAGGGGACGUGGAUAACCUCGGGAAACUGAGUAUAAACCGCGAUGGGUCAUGAUUUCUGGAAUGAAUUAUGGCUGAAAUCUAUAUGGCCCCUGGAUUGGACUGCGACCGAUCAGGCUGUUGGUGAGGUAAUGGCCCACCAAACCUGUUACCGGUACGGGCUCUGAGAGGAGGAGCCCGGAGAUGGGCACUGAGACAAGGGCCCAGGCCCUAUGGGGCGCAGCAGGCGCGAAAUCUCUGCAAUAGGCGAAAGCUUGACAGGGUUACUCUGAGUGAUUUCCGCUAAGGAAAUCUUUUGGCACCUCUAAAAAUGGUGCAGAAUAAGGGGUGGGCAAGUCUGGUGUCAGCCGCCGCGGUAAUACCAGCACCCCGAGUGGUCGGGACGAUUAUUGGGCCUAAAGCAUCCGUAGCCGGCCCUGCAAGUCUUCCGUUAAAUCCAUCCGCUCAACGGAUGGGCCGCGGGAGAUACUACAGGGCUAGGAGGCGGGAGAGGCAAGCGGUACUCAGUGGGUAGGGGUAAAAUCCUUUGAUCCGUGGAAGACCACCAGUGGCGAAGGCGGUCCACCAGAACGCGCUCGACGGUGAGGGAUGAAGCUGGGGGAGCGAACCGGGUUAGAUACCCGGGUAGUCCCAG
RNAcentral lists this ribosomal RNA (739 nucleotides) under uncultured archaeon. RNAcentral describes it as "bacterial SSU rRNA". It matches the Rfam family "Archaeal small subunit ribosomal RNA", at positions 1 to 750 of the family's 1478-position model. The record is from RNAcentral.